GCCUUGAUGGUGAAAUGGUAGACACGCGAGACUCAAAAUCUCAUGCUGAAGAGCGUGGAGGUUCGAGUCCUCUUCAAGGCA
Non-coding RNA from Triticum aestivum (bread wheat), 81 nucleotides. The record is from Rfam. Lineage: Eukaryota; Viridiplantae; Streptophyta; Magnoliopsida; Poales; Poaceae.